RNAcentral lists this ribosomal RNA (494 nucleotides) under uncultured bacterium. RNAcentral describes it as "partial 16S ribosomal RNA". It matches the Rfam family "Bacterial small subunit ribosomal RNA", at positions 28 to 507 of the family's 1533-position model. The record is from RNAcentral.
GACGAACGCUGGCGGCGUGCUUAACACAUGCAAGUCGAACGGUGAAGCGCCUUCCUUUUUGGUGGGUGUGGAUGAGUGGCGAACGGGUGAGUAACACGUGAGUAACCUGCCCCCUUCUUCUGGAUAACCGCAUGAAAGUGUGGCUAAUACGGGAUAUUCUGGGUCUGUCGCAUGAUGGGUCUGGGAAAGAUAUUGUUUCGGUGGGGGAUGGACUCGCGGCCUAUCAGCUUGUUGGUGGGGUGAUGGCCUACCAAGGCGGUGACGGGUAGCCGGCCUGAGAGGGUGGACGGUCACACUGGGACUGAGACACGGCCCAGACUCCUACGGGAGGCAGCAGUGGGGAAUAUUGCACAAUGGGCGCAAGCCUGAUGCAGCGACGCCGCGUGAGGGAUGGAGGCCUUCGGGUUGUGAACCUCUUUCGCCAGUGAAGCAGGCCUGCCUCGUUUGUGGGUGGGUUGACGGUAGCUGGAUAAGAAGCGCCGGCUAACUACGUG